RNAcentral lists this ribosomal RNA (159 nucleotides) under Triticum aestivum (bread wheat). Its description in RNAcentral is "partial small subunit ribosomal RNA". The record is from RNAcentral. Lineage: Eukaryota; Viridiplantae; Streptophyta; Magnoliopsida; Poales; Poaceae.
AUGCUUGUUAUGCCUAAUAUACUUAGUUUAACAUGUAUCUGUUUUAAUUCUGUUCUUUAUCCUACUACUUUUUUCUUUGCCAAAUUACCCGAAGCUUAUGCUAUUUUCAAUCCAAUCGUGGAUAUUAUGCCUGUUAUACCUCUAUUCUUUUUUCUAUAA